RNAcentral lists this ribosomal RNA (463 nucleotides) under uncultured bacterium. RNAcentral's name for it is "bacterial SSU rRNA". It matches the Rfam family "Bacterial small subunit ribosomal RNA", at positions 28 to 502 of the family's 1533-position model. The record is from RNAcentral.
GACGAACGCUGGCGGCGUGCCUAACACAUGCAAGUCGAACGAGGUCCAUGAGAGCUUGCUCUCAGAAGACCUAGUGGCGAAACGGGUGAGUAACAUGUGAGAAACCUGCCUCGGAGUGGGGAAUAACUCGGGGAAACUCGAGCUAAUACCGCAUAUCUUCACAUGAUCGCAUGGUCGAGUGAAGAAAGAAUUUCGCUCUGAGAGGGUCUCGCGGCCUAUCAGCUUGUUGGUGGGGUAACGGCCCACCAAGGCAACGACGGUAGCUGGUUUGAGAGAACGAUCAGCCACACUGGGACUGAGACACGGCCCAGACUCCUACGGAGGCAGCAGUGGGGAAUCUUGCGCAAUGGGCGAAAGCCUGACGCAGCAACGCCGCGUGCGGGAUGACGGCCUUCGUGGUUGUAAACCGCUUUCAGCAGGGACGAAAAUGACGGUACCUGCAGAAGAAGACCCCGGCGUAACU